Molecule: long non-coding RNA, 125 nt
Organism: Etheostoma spectabile (orangethroat darter)
Lineage: Eukaryota; Metazoa; Chordata; Actinopteri; Perciformes; Percidae
Exons: 3
Source: RefSeq, a predicted model, not a curated record
CUCUUCACAAUUGAGAUCGUGAGGUCUUGUGGAUGCACUUGUUGGUCCGCUUCCUUUGAUUUCCUCUGUUCCCGAUUCCUCACUCUGAAUUCUGUGUAAAAUAAAAUUGUAUCAUGUGAAAUAAA